CAUCUUUUGAUUCUGUAUCACGUACCUCUUUUCUAUUUUCAAGUAAAUGCAUUUUUAGCUACCUGCCAGUUCUAUGAGAUUGCUUGCUAGAGUAAGGUAAUGAAGUUACAUACUCUGAUUCUAUCAGGAAAGGCGAGUUCUCAAAUUCAACAGAAAAAUCCCAAUGAAUUAACGUCAACCAAUAGAAACGCGCUAACGUUUCGACUUUUGAUUGUAUCCAAAACUUAAUUCAUGGGAUCAAUUCUUAUGAUGUUAUUGUGACAUUUUUCACCCAAUUAUGAAGUUGUCAAAGUAGUUUUGUUUAAAUGAAAAUAAUAAUUCAUAUUGAAAUGCAGUGAUUCAACAGUGCCAAAAUAAAGUAGGAGCCCAACAUAAAUGACUUUGUCCAAGUGAAUAAGGGAAGGGAUUAACAGAUAAAAUUUCAUAGAAGAUUUAGUAAAUACUCUAAAGUUCAGAAGUGAACGGCAUUCUAAAAGUCAAGUGUAAAACUCUGUACAACAAGAAUGAAAUUAACCAAGUCUUUUAGAAAGCCUUUAGUUAAAUAAAAUAAAUUAA
Long non-coding RNA from Leptinotarsa decemlineata (Colorado potato beetle), 555 nucleotides. RefSeq lists it as uncharacterized. The record is from RefSeq and is a predicted model, not a curated record. NCBI's taxonomy places the organism in Eukaryota, Metazoa, Arthropoda, Insecta, Coleoptera, Chrysomelidae.